Molecule: long non-coding RNA, 513 nt
Filed under: Anas platyrhynchos platyrhynchos (common mallard)
Lineage: Eukaryota; Metazoa; Chordata; Aves; Anseriformes; Anatidae
Description: lncRNA (ENSAPLG00000024915.1)
Source: RNAcentral
CCACCACCAGGGCUCUGCCCACUGUGAUGUGGUCACUAUGUCACUAGGACUGGUGAUAGGAUUUCAUACUGGGACCAGCCCUCAGCUACCCUUGGAGAAAGAUUGCAGAGCUGCCUUCGUCCAUGGCUGUGGGGACCUUCCAGCUCCAUGAAACAGCUGGAAACCCUGAUAAUUUUGCUGCAGUGUUAAUCCUUGCCACAACAUAUUCUGUCAAAGAUAACAGAGGGAAUGAAUACUGUUACCACAAUAAGAGGGGAAAAUCUGUAAUUAUCUGCAUACAUAAUAAGAAUCAGACCAAGAAGUCAGACCUUGUAAAUAACCAUGCUGUGAUCUAAGAUAGCAAGUUGAUUCAGCAAGAAAUAGAUAGUUGAUUCAGCAAGAAAUAGAUAGUCAACAUUUCUAUAGUCUUAUUCUGUCUGGAAUUUUCAGAAAUCUUGCUUAACUGUUCCAUGCUUCAGGUAACACUUAAUACAGCAAAAUCAUCCUUAUAUCUCUUGUUUUGCUACAGGUAAG